RNAcentral lists this ribosomal RNA (533 nucleotides) under uncultured bacterium. RNAcentral's name for it is "bacterial SSU rRNA". It matches the Rfam family "Bacterial small subunit ribosomal RNA", at positions 777 to 1316 of the family's 1533-position model. The record is from RNAcentral.
AAUAGAUACCCCGGUAGUCCACGCCGUAAACUAUGAUUACUCGAUGUCGGCGAUAUACUGUCGGUGUCCAAGCGAAAGUGAUAAGUAAUCCACCUGGGGAGUACGAUCGCAAGGUUGAAACUCAAAGGAAUUGACGGGGGCCCGCACAAGCGGUGGAGCAUGUGGUUUAAUUCGAUGAUACGCGAGGAACCUUACCUGGGCUUGAAUGCAUUAUGACCGUCCCGGAAACGGGACUUUCUUCGGACAGAAUGCAAGGUGCUGCAUGGUUGUCGUCAGCUCGUGCUGUGAGGUGUCGGGUUAAGUCCCAUAACGAGCGCAACCCCUAUUCUUAGUUGCCAGCGGGUAAUGCCGGGGACUCUAAGAAACUGCCCGCGUAAGCGGUGAGGAAGGUGGGGAUGACGUCAAAUCAUCACGGCCCUUACGUCCAGGGCUACACACGUGCUACAAUGGUCAGUACAAAGGGCAGCUACCUGGUGACAGGAUGCUAAUCUCGAAAACUGAUCUCAGUUCGGAUCGAAGUCUGCAACUCGUAC